AGCUUUGCGCAGUGGCAGUAUCGUAGCCAAUGAGGUUUAUCUGAGGCACGAUUAUUGCUAAUUAUUGCUAAUUGGAAAAAGGAGAUGGGAGUGUCCACCCUUCCAGCUUCUCCACUCACGGCCAUGUG
RNAcentral lists this small nuclear RNA (128 nucleotides) under Ictidomys tridecemlineatus (thirteen-lined ground squirrel). RNAcentral describes it as "U4 spliceosomal RNA (ENSSTOG00000018455.1)". The stretch from base 1 to 64 matches the Rfam family "U4 spliceosomal RNA". Rfam says of the family: U4 small nuclear RNA (U4 snRNA) is a component of the major U2-dependent spliceosome. The record is from RNAcentral. Lineage: Eukaryota; Metazoa; Chordata; Mammalia; Rodentia; Sciuridae.